AGUGAACGCUGGCGGUAGGCCUAACACAUGCGAGUCGAACGGCAGCACAGUAAGAGCUUGCUCUUACGGGUGGCGAGUGGCGGACGGGUGAGGAAUACAUCGGAAUCUACUUUUUCGUGGGGGAUAACGUAGGGAAACUUACGCUAAUACCGCAUACGACCUACGGGUGAAAGCAGGGGAUCUUCGGACCUUGCGCGAUUGAAUGAGCCGAUGUCGGAUUAGCUAGUUGGCGGGGUAAAGGCCCACCAAGGCGACGAUCCGUAGCUGGUCUGAGAGGAUGAUCAGCCACACUGGAACUGAGACACGGUCCAGACUCCUACGGGAGGCAGCAGUGGGGAAUAUUGGACAAUGGGCGCAAGCCUGAUCCAGCCAUACCGCGUGGGUGAAGAAGGCCUUCGGGUUGUAAAGCCCUUUUGUUGGGAAAGAAAAGCAGCGGGUUAAUACCCCGCUGUUCUGACGGUACCCAAAGAAUAAGCACCGGCUAACUUCGUG
This 492-nucleotide ribosomal RNA is filed under the name uncultured bacterium. RNAcentral's name for it is "partial 16S ribosomal RNA". It matches the Rfam family "Bacterial small subunit ribosomal RNA", at positions 29 to 507 of the family's 1533-position model. The record is from RNAcentral.